CCCUCCUCUAAUCAGCGCGGCUGAGAAUUCAGCUCCACACUUGAGCACGCGCCUGCUCCCCCGAGAGCGCCCCAGAACUCAUGCUGCUCAAAUAUGAAAUGGCUCCUGCCCCCGGGGCUGAGUCAAGGAGCCAGGUCCUUCGCUGAGCACCUACUAUGUGACGGGUGAAAACGGAUGCAGGUUGGAGACAGGAGCACACUGAACAGAGCACCAUCGGGGGUCAAGGUCAGGAGUGGAAUUCGGCUGUUCAAGGAAGAAACAAACGGAAGAACACGUGCAUGGGAAGGCUGAGACUGGGGGCAAAGGAGCCCUGGAGAACGUGGUGGAGGCCCUGCUGGAGGCCGGUGUGGGUGGCCGUGGCUGGCUUCCGGCUGCUCCGUCUCCACCUGGCCAGCGGGGCUCCAGCCUUUGCUCCUGUCUGGACCUCCAGGACAGUGGACAGAGGCUCCGAGCUCAGGCGAAGGGGCCCUGGCUCCCCGCUGACCUGCAGCACACCCUGGCCUCCCUGCCUCCUGUCCAGCCCCAAGCUGACCCAGGCAGGCCUGCAGACGCC
Molecule: long non-coding RNA, 553 nt
Organism: Ictidomys tridecemlineatus (thirteen-lined ground squirrel)
Lineage: Eukaryota; Metazoa; Chordata; Mammalia; Rodentia; Sciuridae
Source: RefSeq, a predicted model, not a curated record